This 277-nucleotide ribosomal RNA is filed under the name uncultured bacterium. Its description in RNAcentral is "partial 16S ribosomal RNA". It matches the Rfam family "Bacterial small subunit ribosomal RNA", at positions 335 to 600 of the family's 1533-position model. The record is from RNAcentral.
ACUCCUACGGGAGGCAGCAGUGGGGAAUAUUGGACAAUGGGGGGAACCCUGAUCCAGCCAUGCCGCGUGUGUGGAAGAAGGCCUUUUGGUUGUAAAGCACUUUAAGCGAGGAGGAGGCUUACCUGGUUAAUACCCGGGAUAAGUCGGACGUUACUCGCAGAAUAAGCACCGGCUAACUCUGUGCUUAGCAGCCGCGGUAAUACAGAGGGUGCAAGCGUUAAUCGGAUUUACUGGGCGUAAAGCGCGCGUAGGUGGCUAAUUAAGUCAAAUGUGAAAU